This 20-nucleotide transfer RNA is filed under the name Pinguinus impennis (great auk). RNAcentral describes it as "partial tRNA-Gly". Lineage: Eukaryota; Metazoa; Chordata; Aves; Charadriiformes; Laridae. The record is from RNAcentral. RNAcentral also lists the same sequence under 1 other name.
UACAACCCCAGAGAAGAGCA